This 469-nucleotide unclassified non-coding RNA is filed under the name Hevea brasiliensis (rubber tree). The record is from RNAcentral. Lineage: Eukaryota; Viridiplantae; Streptophyta; Magnoliopsida; Malpighiales; Euphorbiaceae.
GGUCUAUGAUAUCACCAGCAUGGUAGCUUUUCAGUUUUUUCACCAAGCUUAAUUAUUUUCAUCUGUCUUUACUCUUUUGCUUUUGGGGUUUAUUUCCUUGUCUUAUUUAUUGCAACUAGUUGCUUAAACUAAUGGAAUUAGACCUUGUAAAAUGCAAUCAUGACUGCAAUGAGUUUAUUUCAAUGGACAUAAGCUUAAUUAACUUGAAUGCCUCUUUAUGCAAGUCCUUCAAUUACUUGCAUGCCAACUUUCAUGAAGCUUUUAAGCUUUUUUCCUUGGGGAAAGGAAAAAAUGAUACAUCUUUUUAAGAAUACUUGUGUGUUGUCAGACAUAAUGGCUGUAUGGUUGGGACAUUCUGAGGUCAGACCUUGAUAAAGUGAUGCAUAUGGUUGGUCUUGUCUAUCAUUUAUUGAAAUACAAAUUAUAUGUCAAAUGAAGCAGAGAGUUUAAUGUGUCAAACAAUGCGAAA